UACGUAGGGUGCAAGCGUUACUCGGAAUUACUGGGCGUAAAGCGUGCGUAGGUGGUGAGUUAAGUCUGUCGUGAAAGCCCCGGGCUCAACCUGGGAAUGGCGAUGGAUACUGGCUCGCUAGAGUGCGGUAGAGGGUGGUGGAAUUCCCGGUGUAGCAGUGAAAUGCGUAGAGAUCGGGAGGAACAUCAGUUGCGAAGGCGGCCACCUGGACCAGCACUGACACUGAGGCACGAAAGCGUGGGGAGCAAACAGG
RNAcentral lists this ribosomal RNA (253 nucleotides) under uncultured bacterium. RNAcentral describes it as "partial 16S ribosomal RNA". It matches the Rfam family "Bacterial small subunit ribosomal RNA", at positions 524 to 776 of the family's 1533-position model. The record is from RNAcentral.